RNAcentral lists this ribosomal RNA (242 nucleotides) under uncultured Vibrio sp. RNAcentral's name for it is "partial 16S ribosomal RNA". It matches the Rfam family "Bacterial small subunit ribosomal RNA", at positions 173 to 421 of the family's 1533-position model. The record is from RNAcentral. Lineage: Bacteria; Pseudomonadati; Pseudomonadota; Gammaproteobacteria; Vibrionales; Vibrionaceae.
CUCGUAAGAGCAAAGCAGGGGACCUUCGGGCCUUGCGCUACCGGGUAUGCCCAGGUGGGAUUAGCUAGUUGGUGGAGGUAAGGGCUCACCAAGGCGACGAUCCCUAGCUGGUCUGAGAGGAUGAUCAGCCACACUGGAACUGAGACACGGUCCAGACUCCUACGGGAGGCAGCAGUGGGGAAUAUUGCACAAUGGGCGCAAGCCUGAUGCAGCCAUGCCGCGUGUAUGAAGAAGGCCUUCGG